Long non-coding RNA from Globicephala melas (long-finned pilot whale), 2292 nucleotides. RefSeq lists it as uncharacterized. Lineage: Eukaryota; Metazoa; Chordata; Mammalia; Artiodactyla; Delphinidae. The record is from RefSeq and is a predicted model, not a curated record.
CAGAGCGGGCAGGGAAGUCUGUCCUACCCUUCGUGUCCGAGUGGGGCCGGGGACUUCGUCUCCGGAGCCCCCAGAGUCCUCACAGGCUCGGCGGGAGGAACUCGUUUGGAGCUCGGGAGCGCUCAGGACGCUCGCAGGCAUUUCAGAGCCUGAGGUUCGAAUCCCAGCUUCCAGAGAGACUCCGCGACUUUGGACAACCGGUCUCGGGGCCUCAGUUUCCCCUCUAGGGUGAGGCACCCAGGAGGCGGAGGAAAAGGCUGUGGUUCCUUUACUAGCCCGACCCCUCGGGCGGUCCACGGCUGCCCUGCAUGGAGCUGACGCUCAACGAGGGUUGUUGAAUGAAUGUGUGUAAGGAGCCCUGAGAAGCCACAAAUCUUGGACACCUGGCUGGAGGAUCUGUCCGUCCUGGCCCCAGCGUCUUAGAGAGGUACCUGCACAGCAAUGGAUAUUUCCAGUUGUUCUCCAUUCUCGUCAACACUUGGUAUGGUCAGUCAUUUUAAUUUUAGACAUCUAACAGGGGCCCUGGCUGAGUCUGGAACUAAAGGAACGUUUUACAGUUAGUCACCUUCCUUCGGCGGUAAGUGGAUGCGAAGAAGCACAUGGGAACUGUCUGCUUCCUCGAGGAGGCAGUCUGCCCGGGCACCCUGCAUGCCCUGUGUGAGUGUGCCACACCAGGCACUCUGGCCGCCAUGGAGCAGUGUCUGCAGCUGCUCGCUGGCGCGACCACAUAGGUCAAGGUGGCCACGGCUGCCGCUUGCGCAGGAAGUGCUGAGUCCUUGGCCCUGCACACCCCCCUGCACGAGGAGGCCCCAGGGAGUUGCAUGGAGACUGUGGGAGCGAGGGAAGCAGCACAACUCUACCGGUGCAUCUGCUGUGGCUGUGAGAGCAGAAGGUCUACCUCUGAUCAGCACACCUCUCCCUCCACUGUCAGCACCCGUGCAGUGGCAUCAGGUUCACUCCCUGCAUCCUCAGGUUCUUUCUUGAAAGUGAGGUGAGUUUUAAGCUUUAAGUAGGCAGCGAGCCCAGGAGGCGCGUUCAGGGUAAGGUCUGAUGAGACUGUCCUUCUUGGCGCCCGCCGGAGGCCAGGUGCUUUUACAAGCAGGAGCUCUAGCUAUCUUUUUCCAUCUCUGGAAUAGGUGCAGCUCCUCCUAUUUUAUCAAAGCAACAAGGCAGGCUCAGAGGAGAGGGACGCACGGUUACGAGGCGGGAUCAGUACAUGGCGGGGCCGGGAGGGCCUCAGUCUGUCCCUUCCGAAGUGCAUCUGCUCAAGAUAUGAGCAGAGUUGCUUGCGUGGGCCUGCCUGCUGGAGCAGAGGGUGAUGGGCAGUCUGGAAGGCCAUCUGGGCAGGAGAGGGUCAGUUUGAUGCUGGCCUGACAAAUGGUGGCUUUAGAAAAGGGUCCUGUAUGAAAUACGUGCCCUGGUCACACAUACACACAUCUAUCCCUAACACAACCCGCCUCUGGCCCCCAGGAGAAGUUAGCUAAAGACAAACACGGAAAUGCUGAGUAAACAGGAACUGCAGGUUAUGUGGCUGCUGAAAACCGCUGGGAGUCUCCGAAGUGAAUGAUGUUUUGAUUUUAAAUAGCAUUUAAAAGGCAAGCAAGGCUACUAGUCAUGAAACUUGUCUCUCUUGAGGCAAGUCCAUCUUAGACCGGGGCUUCAAGCUGAAGAGGACCCACCCCAUCAGAGCUGCGGCCUCCUUACCUCUGGAAGGGAAGACUGGGCACUGCGCGUCUGCUUGAUGGCUUCCUCGUAGCGAGGAGGGUCUUUCGUCUUGGGGACCGGGCUCCCAAACAGAGAGUGCUGGACCGCAAACUGCUGGGGCGGAGGGGGCGAGCCGGGCUGCGGCAGACAAAGGAGGAGAGUCAGCCCGACGGCAGGCUGGCCCCCCGGGGAUCCUGGGGGGUGAGGCUGAGGCGCUGGCGGGCCGGGCCACCCCCACUGUGCUGACGGCUAAGCUGCCCCGGAACAAGUCCUAUCCCGGGACUUUCGGCUGUUUCCCCCUGUUAAUGCCGACACUCAGCCGUCCAGGCCUGAAGCCUGGGACUCUGGGCUGAACCUGCGCCCUGUCUGUGCCAGCACCGCUGCCCCGUGGGCUGGGUUACCUUGUUGGGAGGUUUGGGGCCGUUCUGCAGGGAGGGAAGUGGCGUGCUUCUGGGUUGAAGGAUGCUGCUGUUUGUCUUGUUGAUAAAGGGCUGCUGCACCGCUGGAGCGGGUGGUCUCUGAUACGGAAGCACUGUAUUGGAUGCUGAGUUUGUGAAAACCUGUAAUGAAUAAAUAUUUGCCCAUCAA